Molecule: non-coding RNA, 26 nt
Filed under: Mus musculus (house mouse)
Lineage: Eukaryota; Metazoa; Chordata; Mammalia; Rodentia; Muridae
Source: RNAcentral
CCCAAUGACGGUGAUGUAUAAUGCUC